This 800-nucleotide ribosomal RNA is filed under the name uncultured bacterium. RNAcentral describes it as "bacterial SSU rRNA". It matches the Rfam family "Bacterial small subunit ribosomal RNA", at positions 102 to 939 of the family's 1533-position model. The record is from RNAcentral.
ACGGGUGAGUAACACGUGGGAACGUGCCUUUAGGUUCGGAAUAGCUCCUGGAAACGGGUGGUAAUGCCGAAUGUGCCCUUCGGGGGAAAGAUUUAUCGCCUUUAGAGCGGCCCGCGUCUGAUUAGCUUGUUGGUGGGGUAAUGGCCCACCAAGGCUACGAUCAGUAGCUGGUCUGAGAGGAUGACCAGCCACAUUGGGACUGAGACACGGCCCAAACUCCUACGGGAGGCAGCAGUGGGGAAUCUUGCGCAAUGGGCGAAAGCCUGACGCAGCCAUGCCGCGUGUAUGAUGAAGGUCUUAGGAUUGUAAAAUACUUUCACCGGUGAAGAUAAUGACUGUAGCCGGAGAAGAAGCCCCGGCUAACUUCGUGCCAGCAGCCGCGGUAAUACGAAGGGGGCUAGCGUUGCUCGGAAUUACUGGGCGUAAAGGGAGCGUAGGCGGACAUUUAAGUCAGGGGUGAAAUCCCGGAGCUCAACUCCGGAACUGCCCUUGAUACUGGGUGUCUUGAGUGUGAGAGAGGUAUGUGGAACUCCGAGUGUAGAGGUGAAAUUCGUAGAUAUUCGGAAGAACACCAGUGGCGAAGGCGACAUACUGGCUCAUUACUGACGCUGAGGCUCGAAAGCGUGGGGAGCAAACAGGAUUAGAUACCCUGGUAGUCCACGCCGUAAACGAUGAUUGCUAGUUGUCGGGGAGUUUACUUCUCGGUGACGCAGCUAACGCAUUAAGCAAUCCGCCUGGGGAGUACGGUCGCAAGAUUAAAACUCAAGGAAUUGACAGGGGCCCGCACAAGCGGUGGAGCA